Molecule: long non-coding RNA, 509 nt
Filed under: Macaca mulatta (Rhesus monkey)
Lineage: Eukaryota; Metazoa; Chordata; Mammalia; Primates; Cercopithecidae
Description: lncRNA (ENSMMUG00000053529.1)
Source: RNAcentral
CUAUCUCUUGGAUCUUGGCUUUUACUGCAUUGAGAGCUUUCCAAUGCCUUCAAUUAGAUAAUGAUGAUAAUGAAGAUGACAAUGAUACAUGUGUGUAUGUUUUGCCUAGAUUUCGAGUUGUCUUAGCAUAGAGUUGGUCCAAAUCAUCUGCAUCAUCCCAUCUACUAUUUCAGGAAGUAGAAGUCUGGAAUCUGUUUUUCAAAGCAAACCCUUUGUGAGAAUAAAAGAAUCACUAUCCUUAAAUAAUUGUAGAAUUACAUCAUUGAUCAACUAUGUCCCCAGCGGAUAAGAACUCAAGCAACACAUGGUGCUUUGAGAUCCAGGUGUAAUUUCCAGACACAGAAGGAAGCAAAGUGCCUUUCAAAGGCAGAACUGUCGACCAUUUCAGCACUAUCUGCCUUUUCCUGACUUGGAGAACACAGCACAAAGAAAGAAGUUAGGAGGGAAAUUUCAGAAGUUGUAGCAGUAAAAAAUCUAUUCAGCGCUGAGGUGAGUUGUUCAGGGGCUUG